This 1345-nucleotide ribosomal RNA is filed under the name unidentified marine bacterioplankton. RNAcentral describes it as "bacterial SSU rRNA". It matches the Rfam family "Bacterial small subunit ribosomal RNA". The record is from RNAcentral.
UUAGAGUUUGAUCAUGGCUCAGAACGUACGCUGGCGGCACGCCUAACACAUGCAAGUCGAACGAAGUAGCAAUACUUAGUGGCAGACGGGUGAGUAACAUGUGGGUAUCUGCCCUUUGGCCUGGAAUAACACGAGGAAACUUGUGCUAAUACUGGAUAAGUCUUUACGGAGAAAGCUUUAUGCACCAUUGGAUGAGCCCGCACUUGAUUAGUUUGUUGGUGGGGUAAUGGCCUACCAAGACUGUGAUCAAUAGCUGAUUUGAGAGGAUGAUCAGCCACAUUGGGACUGAGACACGGCCCAAACUCCUACGGGGGGCAGCAGUGGGGAAUCUUGCACAAUGGAGGAAACUCUGAUGCAGCGAUGCCGCGUGAGUGAAGAAGGCCCUUGGGUUGUAAAGCUCUUUCGUCGGGGAAGAAAAUGACUGUACCCGAAUAAGAAGGUCCGGCUAACUUCGUGCCAGCAGCCGCGGUAAUACGAAGGGACCUAGCGUAGUUCGGAAUUACUGGGCUUAAAGAGUUCGUAGGUGGUUGAAAAAGUUGGUGGUGAAAUCCCAGAGCUUAACUCUGGAACUGCCAUCAAAACUUUUCAGCUAGAGUUUGAUAGAGGAAAGCAGAAUUUCUAGUGUAGAGGUGAAAUUCGUAGAUAUUAGAAAGAAUACCAAUUGCGAAGGCAGCUUUCUGGAUCAUUACUGACACUGAGGAACGAAAGCAUGGGUAGCGAAGAGGAUUAGAUACCCUCGUAGUCCAUGCCGUAAACGAUGUGUGUUAGACGUUGGAAAUUUAUUUUCAGUGUCGCAGCGAAAGCGAUAAACACACCGCCUGGGGAGUACGACCGCAAGGUUAAAACUCAAAUGAAUUGACGGGGACCCGCACAAGUAGUGGAGCAUGUGGUUUAAUUCGAAGAUACGCGCAGAACCUUACCAACACUUGACAUGUUCGUCGCGACUUUAAGAGAUUAAAGUUUUCGGUUCGGCCGGACGAAACACAGGUGCUGCAUGGCUGUCGUCAGCUCGUGUCGUGAGAUGUUGGGUUAAGUCCCGCAACGAGCGCAACCCUCACUUUUAGUUGCCAUCAUUAAGUUGGGCACUCUGAAAGAACUGCCAGUGAUAAGCUGGAGGAAGGUGGGGAUGACGUCAAGUCCUCAUGGCCCUUACGUGUUGGGCUACACACGUGCUACAAUGGUAUCUACAACAGGAAGCGAAACAGCGAUGUUAAGCAAAUCCUUAAAAGAUACCUCAGUUCGGAUUGCACUCUGCAACUCGAGUGCAUGAAGCUGGAAUUACUAGUAAUCGUGGAUCAGCGUGCCACGGUGAAUGCGUUCCGCGGGUCUUGUACACACCGCCCGU